RNAcentral lists this ribosomal RNA (815 nucleotides) under Nocardia sp. POB3-6_Pa. RNAcentral's name for it is "bacterial SSU rRNA". It matches the Rfam family "Bacterial small subunit ribosomal RNA", at positions 62 to 892 of the family's 1533-position model. The record is from RNAcentral. Lineage: Bacteria; Bacillati; Actinomycetota; Actinomycetes; Mycobacteriales; Nocardiaceae.
UCGAGCGGUAAGGCCCUUCGGGGUACACGAGCGGCGAACGGGUGAGUAACACGUGGGUGAUCUGCCUCGCACUCUGGGAUAAGCCUGGGAAACUGGGUCUAAUACCGGAUAUGACUUUCGGAUGCAUGUUCGAGGGUGGAAAGAUUUAUCGGUGCGAGAUGGGCCCGCGGCCUAUCAGCUUGUUGGUGGGGUAACGGCCCACCAAGGCGACGACGGGUAGCCGACCUGAGAGGGUGACCGGCCACACUGGGACUGAGACACGGCCCAGACUCCUACGGGAGGCAGCAGUGGGGAAUAUUGCACAAUGGGCGAAAGCCUGAUGCAGCGACGCCGCGUGGGGGAUGACGGCCUUCGGGUUGUAAACCCCUUUUGACAGGGACGAAGCGCAAGUGACGGUACCUGUAGAAGAAGCACCGGCCAACUACGUGCCAGCAGCCGCGGUAAUACGUAGGGUGCGAGCGUUGUCCGGAAUUACUGGGCGUAAAGAGCUUGUAGGCGGUCUGUCACGUCUUCUGUGAAAACUUGGGGCUCAACCUUAAGCUUGCAGGGGAUACGGGCAGACUAGAGUACUUCAGGGGAGACUGGAAUUCCUGGUGUAGCGGUGAAAUGCGCAGAUAUCAGGAGGAACACCGGUGGCGAAGGCGGGUCUCUGGGAAGUAACUGACGCUGAGAAGCGAAAGCAUGGGUAGCAAACAGGAUUAGAUACCCUGGUAGUCCAUGCCGUAAACGGUGGGUACUAGGUGUGGGUUUCCUUCCACGGGAUCCGUGCCGUAGCUAACGCAUUAAGUACCCCGCCUGGGGAGUACGGCCGCAAG